Molecule: ribosomal RNA, 468 nt
Filed under: uncultured bacterium
Lineage: Bacteria
Description: bacterial SSU rRNA
Rfam family: Bacterial small subunit ribosomal RNA
Source: RNAcentral
GACCAGACUCCUACGGGAGGCAGCAGUGAGGAAUAUUGGUCAAUGGCCGAGAGGCUGAACCAGCCAAGUCGCGUGAGGGAAGACGGCCCUACGGGUUGUAAACCUCUUUUGUCGGGGAGCAAAGCGAGUCACGUGUGACUCAUUGAGAGUACCCGAAGAAAAAGCAUCGGCUAACUACGUGCCAGCAGCCGCGGUAAUACGUAGGGGGCGAGCGUUAUCCGGAUUUACUGGGUGUAAAGGGAGCGUAGACGGCGUCGCAAGUCUGAAGUGAAAGCCCGUGGCUCAACCGCGGAACCGCUUUGGAAACUGCGAGGCUGGAGUGUUGGAGAGGUAAGCGGAAUUCCUGGUGUAGCGGUGAAAUGCGUAGAUAUCAGGAGGAACACCGGUGGCGAAGGCGGCUUACUGGACAGUGACUGACGUUGAGGCUCGAAAGCGUGGGGAGCGAACAGGAUUAGAUACCCGAGUACU